GACGUAGGGCGCGAGCGUUGUCCGGAUUUAUUGGGCGUAAAGAGCUCGUAGGCGGCUUGUUGCGUCGGCUGUGAAAACCCGCGGCUUAACCGUGGGCUUGCAGCCGAUACGGGCAGGCUAGAGUUCGGUAGGGGAGACUGGAAUUCCUGGUGUAGCGGUGAAAUGCGCAGAUAUCAGGAAGAACACCCGUGGCGAAAGCGGCUCUCUGGAACGGUACUGACGCUGAGACGCGAAAGCGUGGGGAGCGAACAGG
RNAcentral lists this ribosomal RNA (253 nucleotides) under uncultured bacterium. RNAcentral describes it as "partial 16S ribosomal RNA". It matches the Rfam family "Bacterial small subunit ribosomal RNA", at positions 524 to 776 of the family's 1533-position model. The record is from RNAcentral.